This is a long non-coding RNA of Dermacentor silvarum, 296 nucleotides long. RefSeq lists it as uncharacterized. NCBI's taxonomy places the organism in Eukaryota, Metazoa, Arthropoda, Arachnida, Ixodida, Ixodidae. The record is from RefSeq and is a predicted model, not a curated record. The transcript has 3 exons.
CAGGCUAAGUGCUUGUUCCAAGAUGACUACGUACUGGCAAUAACAACCGAUCCAAAACGUGACGAAGAAAGAGCUGCACAGUGUACCAGUCACUUGCCUGGGAGCGCGAAACUCCUGGGUACUGAGACGUACGGAUGGUGCUCGUUUUCUUGCUACAGUGACCAAUCGUCUCCUUUUGUCCUUGAGGAAAAGGACGGUACACCCUGCAACGAAAGAGAUCCCUCAAUGAAAUGCCGGAACGGGGCUUGUGUGAAAGAGGUACUGCAACCAACGGAUACAAAUCAGAAGAAAAAAGA